Molecule: ribosomal RNA, 561 nt
Filed under: uncultured bacterium
Lineage: Bacteria
Description: bacterial SSU rRNA
Rfam family: Bacterial small subunit ribosomal RNA
Source: RNAcentral
CUAAUACCGCAUACGUCCUACGGGAGAAAGCAGGGGACCUUCGGGCCUUGCGCUAUCAGAUGAGCCUAGGUCGGAUUAGCUAGUUGGUGGGGUAAUGGCUCACCAAGGCGACGAUCCGUAACUGGUCUGAGAGGAUGAUCAGUCACACUGGAACUGAGACACGGUCCAGACUCCUACGGGAGGCAGCAGUGGGGAAUAUUGGACAAUGGGCGAAAGCCUGAUCCAGCCAUGCCGCGUGUGUGAAGAAGGUCUUCGGAUUGUAAAGCACUUUAAGUUGGGAGGAAGGGCAGUAAAUUAAUACUUUGCUGUUUUGACGUUACCGACAGAAUAAGCACCGGCUAACUCUGUGCCAGCAGCCGCGGUAAUACAGAGGGUGCAAGCGUUAAUCGGAAUUACUGGGCGUAAAGCGCGCGUAGGUGGUUCGUUAAGUUGGAUGUGAAAUCCCCGGGCUCAACCUGGGAACUGCAUUCAAAACUGACGAGCUAGAGUAUGGUAGAGGGUGGUGGAAUUUCCUGUGUAGCGGUGAAAUGCGUAGAUAUAGGAAGGAACACCAGUGGCGAA